UGUGUCUCUACCAAUCACUGUUCAUUUUGCGUAACAUUUACAUGCAUAAAAAUAACUAAACGAUGUGAUAGUCACGAAAUAAACAGCAGCGAAUGAAGAAAGAAGUCUUAGUUCCGUAGAAGACCUGCUACAGUGGACACAAGCCAGUCUGCUGGAGCUACUUCUACCAUGGCUCAGUCUCUGUCAGGGAAGUCCUCCCCAGAGGAAUCUGCAGAGAAAGACCUCUGUGUCUCUGAGCUUAAGGAGAAAGAGCUCUUUGUCGCUGAGCUUCAGGCAGAGUUUCCAUUUCUGUCAGAUUACCUGAAUGGUCUAAAGGAUGAGGAAUGGGUUACCUUCCGUGAUGUCAUGGCUAAUCCUAUGACCAAGGAGGAGUUUUUCACGCUCCUGAUUAACUUGGUGAAGCACGUGGACCUGACCUCAAUGCAGGUGGUCGUACCGGCGCUCCUGAAGAUGCUGAGGGAAAUGCCCGAGAGCUUCCAGAGUGCUUCCCAAGAGCAUCCCGAGAGCUCCGUCUCUGGUCCUGGCGGCGCUCAGGACCUUCCCGGCUCUCGCCCCGACUCUCCCUCUCUCACAUAUGUCGAGGAUGAAACCGAUAUCAUGGUGCUAAAGAAUGAAGUCCUCACGGAAAUCAUUCCCAAAGUAAGAAGCAGCAGGUUAUCAUCGACUGACUCAUCGUGCCCCUCAAGAAAGAGGUCCCAGUCUUCUCUGCUGAGUCAACUUGGCGUCACCGAGGACGAUAUAAAAGAAAGUGUUCAGGACACUCUGAGCAAAAUGCAUGUGAUUGGCUCCACCACUGGGUCCGCGGGAGAGCUGAUCAAUGCCAUUGUCCAGCAGAUAGUGGUAAGCAUUAAGGCUAGCCUAGCCGAGAUGAAGAGAACUACUGGUACCAAGUCACCGAGAGCGGCUGCUCUACGGAGGAAAUCCAGCACUGAUCAGCUGGUUCAAGAAGUGUCCAGAAAGCUCUUUGAGUUUGCAAGGGCACAAGACCGGGUCUGCAUGUCUGAGCGAGAGGUUGAGUCAUCUUUGGCUUCAACAGUGAGUGAAGCAAUGACUGCAGCGAUCCAGGCUUUGGAAAGUGGUUCGGAUGACCAGGAGACCAAGGGCAAAUGGGCAAAACGGAGUCUGGCACGCAUCAAAAGAGCUGUGCCAGCUCUAAUGUGCCAAUGUGCCAGCUCCAACGUGCCAAUGUGCCAAUGUGCCUGUUCCACGGGCGUUAUUUCGGAUGUGGAGGGUGAAAAGGAGGUCAAAGAAGUGCGCAGGGAAAGUCAGAGGCCUGAGCAGAGCAUCAAAACUGUUUCCAGUGAGGAAUUUCACAGCAAGGCCAAGAAAGCGGUCAGCGAUGUUCUCAUCGGAGAACUUAAAACAUUGCACUCUGCUCCUCGUGCUCCUUCCAGUGACUCCCCAGGAGCCGGAAGUGAGGCUUCAUCUUCACGUCCUCAGCCCGUCGAGGAAGCUGCUACCAUCCUCAUCGAGACAUUCGUGGACGAGAUGAAGAAGGUGGCUCAGUCUGCUGAAUAUGCGGAUGAGCCCGUGUCUCCUGACGAUCAUCUCCUCAGCCAGACACCCGGAGUCUCCGGUGUUAAAAAGAAGGAGACGGUUCAGUUGGCGGCAGCAAAGAUUUAUGGACAAGUCCAAAUGACACUGAAGGAUUUCUUCAAGAGGCUGCCCCUCCAGCAGAGCCAACGCUGCGCCACCACACUGAGAACCGAGGACCCACAGCAAUCCGACUCAUUGGCCCCGGAUGUCCACUCUGCCGGAGACGAACAGGAAGCAGAGCUCCCAGCAAGCAGCAGGAGUGAACAAGCUCUUCCUGUGGCCGAAGCACAGAGUCCGGUGGACAUUGGUGAGGUGCGGAGCGUCAGUGGGUGCCCUUUGACCCCACUUCAGCUGGCCGCCUGCACCAGAAAUGUGUUAAAAGGAGUGGUGGCCUCCUAUCUGUCUGGACCGGAGCGAACGUCGUCUCGUGAACAGGAGGCUUCACCAGAGCUGCUGGCAGCUAAGAGCAGUUUGUUAGAAGGCGUAAUCGUCCAGUUGGAAGAUAUGGCCGGCUCUAACUCCCAUGGAUGCAAUGAGGACGAUCCCUCAAAACUGACAGGAACGGAUGUCACUGGAGGGCUUAGUAAGCCCUGCUCACUUACUAGCUUGAGAAGAUUGUCCAGUGUAGAAUUUCAAAUGAACGCUUUUGAGUCGGUUACUAAUGUGCUUGUUGCUUCAGUGCGAAGCUACUCCUCCUUAAAAUCGUACGCUUCGGACAUCGACAAAGACGAAUUCCGAGGAGUACCAUGGAACGACUUUUCCUCCAAAGAUGUGGAUGCUGUCGUCACAGAAAUAGUCAAUCAAUUUGUGAGCGACAUACAGACGCAUGCUUUCCUCGCGUCUCCAAGUCCUGACCCAGUGGACGCCUGCUCAUCUGAAGCCGAGCCACAGUCAUGGAGGAGCAAGCUUGCCCUCUCAGACAAGCCAUUCAUUUCCUCAGCUUCAAAGAUGUAUGAGAAUCUGCUAGGUAAAGUUGGCAAGUUUUUUGCUCAGUGCUCCAUCAGGUGUAACGCCCCAGGGAAGCAGCGCACAGAUGAUGAGCAUGAGAUGGAUCCGUCUCUAAAUACCAAUGAUGCAACAACACAGAGCAACAACGAUACGGUGCUUGCCAAUCCUCUCAGCCAUAGGGAAGAUGUCACUAACAUGGCCGACCUUGAUGGCUGCACGAGAGACAUGAUGUCGGAACUUUUAACGGUGCUGGAUGAAGAGAGCGCAAAGGAGGACACCGAAAACCGAUCCGCUACCGUGACAACAGACAUGAUGGUGGACCCGUCCAUCCACCGUUUUGCUGAUGGAGAACAUUCUGAUAAAUCUGCUGAGAAGGAUUGCAGUGUUUCACUGACCUCAAUAACUGAGAUGAUUGAGGAAUUCUGCAGUGAGAGUGUUCAGAUGAAUGCGGUCAAGCAAGUCAGUGAAGUGUUGCUUCACUCUGCCAUCAACCUGUCAAGGCCUUCCAGCUCCUUGCAAACAGAGCACACUGCAUGUCAAGUGGUCAAAGCCGUUGUUGAAGGUGUACAGCAUAUUUUGGAGUCAACUUCAUCAUGCGUUACGAAGGAUAACACCUGCUCUGACAUCAAAGGAGACAGUGUGCCCAGUUCACAGUGUAAUGAGCGAACGAGGGAAGAUCUUAACAUACAAAUCUGGACAACCAUACGUGGGAUGUUCAGUACCUCACUGCGAAAAGUGAAGGAUUUGUUUAGGACGAGCCAGCCGCUUUACUCCAAGACCACAUGCAAAUCGUACGCACAUGCAAAGGAGGUUAUUAGCAAAGCGCUCCUCAGGAUUAGAGGAAGCCUUCUAAAGUCAGGGGAUCUUGACAGUCUAGAUAAUCUCAGCUUUGUUAA
Molecule: long non-coding RNA, 3380 nt
Organism: Clupea harengus (Atlantic herring)
Lineage: Eukaryota; Metazoa; Chordata; Actinopteri; Clupeiformes; Clupeidae
Source: Ensembl